AGGUGCCACUCGAACACGACGGCUCUGAGCGCGCCGUCCACGCCCACCUGACGACUGCUCGCUACGUUUUGGUAGCC
This 77-nucleotide small RNA is filed under the name Xanthomonas vasicola. RNAcentral describes it as "sX9 sRNA". It matches the Rfam family "Xanthomonas sRNA sX9". RNAcentral also lists the same sequence under 5 other names. Lineage: Bacteria; Pseudomonadati; Pseudomonadota; Gammaproteobacteria; Lysobacterales; Lysobacteraceae. The record is from RNAcentral.